AUUGAACGCUGGCGGCAGGCCUAACACAUGCAAGUCGAACGAGUGGCGGACGGGUGAGUAAUGUAUCGGAAACUGCCUGCUGGAGGGGGUUAACUACUGGAAACGGUAGCUAAUACCGCAUACCAUUGGAUGUGCCCAGAUGGGCUUCGCUAGUAGGUGGGGUAAAGGCUCACCUAGGCGACGAUCCUUAGCUGGGUUGAGAGGAUGACCAGCCCCACUGGAACUGAGCAACGGUCCAGACUCCUACGGGAGGCAGCAGUGGGGAAUAUGGCACAAUGGGCGAAAGCCUGAUGCAGCCAUGCCGCGUGUAUGAAGAAGGCCUUCGGGUUGUAAAGUACUUUCAGCGGGGAGGCGUUACCCGCAGAAGAAGCACCGGCUAACUCCGUGCCAGCAGCCGCGGUAAUAC
This 406-nucleotide ribosomal RNA is filed under the name uncultured bacterium. Its description in RNAcentral is "partial 16S ribosomal RNA". It matches the Rfam family "Bacterial small subunit ribosomal RNA", at positions 30 to 526 of the family's 1533-position model. The record is from RNAcentral.